This 319-nucleotide unclassified non-coding RNA is filed under the name Melitaea cinxia (Glanville fritillary). RNAcentral's name for it is "misc RNA ENSMCXG00005004376.1". The record is from RNAcentral. Lineage: Eukaryota; Metazoa; Arthropoda; Insecta; Lepidoptera; Nymphalidae.
AUCAAUAGAAACGAAUUAAGUUCAAACAGCAGGUAAUUGCUAUAAAUUGUUGAAGAGUUUCCUCGACUAUCUUUCUUCUCCAUCAUCAGAUCGACUCCAGACCUUUAUUAAAUAGUAGUGCUAUAUAGUACUUAAUGAAAACAUGAUUAAAUUUACUAGUCACCCUUACGAUUUUUGAAAGUUUCCCUCGAUUUCUCUGGGAUCCCGUCAUCAGAUCCUGGUUUCCUUAUCAUGGUACUAAACUAUGAAUAUCUCCUUUCCAACAAAAAAAAAUUAUCAAAAUCGGUUCAUAAACGAAGAAGUUAUCUCCGAACAUACA